UUAGUGACUGAAAUAUCUCGACAACAAUUAGAUGGUUUUCCAUGAUAUUUUCUGCAGACAUUCAAGAUCCCUAGAGGAUGAAUCUUCCUCUAGCAUCACCAGCAGAGAGAAAAGUCUGAGGGCAUCUGGUGGACUGGUGAAGAAUGGCAGCUACGGACCUGGGGAAAUGGGAAUGCAACUGGAGAAAAGGACUCAGAGCCAGACCAUGACAAAACUUUAAGAAUCUGCUCUUCUUAUGAAGCUUAGUUUUCAUCACUUCAGCACAGGUCUGAGUUCACCAGAAGCCCGCUCCUCUUCUCAUCCAUCCAGAUCUCAGCAUGCUCUUCAUCCAUCGCCACCACCAGUGUCUAGACUCCAAUAUGAUGACAUCAUGAUGGGGUCUAAUCGCCAAGGACUUUUCACAGUCUUAUCA
Thunnus maccoyii (southern bluefin tuna) is the source of this 412-nucleotide long non-coding RNA. RefSeq lists it as uncharacterized. The transcript is spliced from 3 exons. Lineage: Eukaryota; Metazoa; Chordata; Actinopteri; Scombriformes; Scombridae. The record is from RefSeq and is a predicted model, not a curated record.